GUUUUACUCCCUCUGCCCGGAAGUACAUGUCGAAGAAAUUGAUGUAUCUAGAUAUAUUUUAGUUCUAAAUACAUCCAUUUUUAUCCAUUUCUCCGACAAGUAUUUCUGGAUGGAGGGAAUACUAU
Molecule: non-coding RNA, 125 nt
Organism: Triticum aestivum (bread wheat)
Lineage: Eukaryota; Viridiplantae; Streptophyta; Magnoliopsida; Poales; Poaceae
Source: Rfam